GGGUUUGAUCCUGGCUCAGGAUGAACGCUGGCGGCGUGCCUAAUACAUGCAAGUCGAGCGAACGGACGAGAAGCUUGCUUUUCUGAUGUUAGCGGCGGACGGGUGAGUAACACGUGGAUAACCUACCUAUAAGACUGGGAUAACUUCGGGAAACCGGAGCUAAUACCGGAUAAUAUUUUGAACCGCAUGGUUCAAAAGUGAAAGACGGUCUUGCUGUCACUUAUAGAUGGAUCCGCGCUGCAUUAGCUAGUUGGUAAGGUAACGGCUUACCAAGGCAACGAUGCAUAGCCGACCUGAGAGGGUGAUCGGCCACACUGGAACUGAGACACGGUCCAGACUCCUACGGGAGGCAGCAGUAGGGAAUCUUCCGCAAUGGGCGAAAGCCUGACGGAGCAACGCCGCGUGAGUGAUGAAGGUCUUCGGAUCGUAAAACUCUGUUAUUAGGGAAGAACAUAUGUGUAAGUAACUGUGCACAUCUUGACGGUACCUAAUCAGAAAGCCACGGCUAACUACGUGCCAGCAGCCGCGGUAAUACGUAGGUGGCAAGCGUUAUCCGGAAUUAUUGGGCGUAAAGCGCGCGUAGGCGGUUUUUUAAGUCUGAUGUGAAAGCCCACGGCUCAACCGUGGAGGGUCAUUGGAAACUGGAAAACUUGAGUGCAGAAGAGGAAAGUGGAAUUCCAUGUGUAGCGGUGAAAUGCGCAGAGAUAUGGAGGAACACCAGUGGCGAAGGCGACUUUCUGGUCUGUAACUGACGCUGAUGUGCGAAAGCGUGGGGAUCAAACAGGAUUAGAUACCCUGGUAGUCCACGCCGUAAACGAUGAGUGCUAAGUGUUAGGGGGUUUCCGCCCCUUAGUGCUGCAGCUAACGCAUUAAGCACUCCGCCUGGGGAGUACGACCGCAAGGUUGAAACUCAAAGGAAUUGACGGC
RNAcentral lists this ribosomal RNA (927 nucleotides) under uncultured bacterium. Its description in RNAcentral is "bacterial SSU rRNA". It matches the Rfam family "Bacterial small subunit ribosomal RNA", at positions 9 to 917 of the family's 1533-position model. The record is from RNAcentral.